Molecule: ribosomal RNA, 393 nt
Filed under: uncultured bacterium
Lineage: Bacteria
Description: partial 16S ribosomal RNA
Rfam family: Bacterial small subunit ribosomal RNA
Source: RNAcentral
AUACGGAGGAUGCGAGCGUUAUCCGGAUUUAUUGGGUUUAAAGGGAGCGUAGGCGGGAGAUCAAGUCAGCUGUGAAAUGUAGAUGCUCAACAUCUGCACUGCAGUUGAAACUGGUUUUCUUGAGUGCGUAAGGGGCAGGCGGAAUUCGUCGUGUAGCGGUGAAAUGCUUAGAUAUGACGAAGAACUCCGAUCGCGAAGGCAGCCUGCCGGGCCGCGACUGACGCUGAAGCUCGAAGGUGCGGGUAUCGAACAGGAUUAGAUACCCUGGUAGUCCGCACAGUAAACGAUGGAUACUCGCUGUCGGCGAUAUACGGUCGGUGGCCAAGCGAAAGCGUUAAGUAUCCCACCUGGGGAGUACGCCGGCAACGGUGAAACUCAAAUGAAUUGGCGGGG